CCUACGGGAGGCUGCAGUGGGGAAUAUUGCACAAUGGGCGCAAGCCUGAUGCAGCCAUGCCGCGUGUGUGAAGAAGGCCUUCGGGUUGUAAAGCACUUUCAGCGGUGAGGAAGGCGGUGAGGUUAAUAACCUCAUCGAUUGACGUUACCCGCAGAAGAAGCACCGGCUAACUCCGUGCCAGCAGCCGCGGUAAUACGGAGGGUGCAAGCGUUAAUCGGAAUUACUGGGCGUAAAGCGCACGCAGGCGGUCUGUCAAGUCGGAUGUGAAAUCCCCGGGCUCAACCUGGGAACUGCAUUCGAAACUGGCAGGCUAGAGUCUUGUAGAGGGGGGUAGAAUUCCAGGUGUAGCGGUGAAAUGCGUAGAGAUCUGGAGGAAUACCGGUGGCGAAGGCGGCCCCCUGGACAAAGACUGACGCUCAGGUGCGAAAGCGUGGGGAGCAAACAGGAUUAGAUACCCUUGUAGUC
Molecule: ribosomal RNA, 465 nt
Filed under: uncultured Klebsiella sp.
Lineage: Bacteria; Pseudomonadati; Pseudomonadota; Gammaproteobacteria; Enterobacterales; Enterobacteriaceae
Description: bacterial SSU rRNA
Rfam family: Bacterial small subunit ribosomal RNA
Source: RNAcentral